This 325-nucleotide ribosomal RNA is filed under the name uncultured eukaryote. Its description in RNAcentral is "partial 18S ribosomal RNA". It matches the Rfam family "Eukaryotic small subunit ribosomal RNA", at positions 1470 to 1796 of the family's 1831-position model. The record is from RNAcentral.
CCCUUAGAUGUUCUGGGCCGCACGCGCGCUACACUGAUGCAUUCAACGAGCCUAUCCUUGACCGACAGGUCCGGGUAAUCUUUGAAUCUGCAUCGUGACGGGGAUAGAUUAUUGCAAUUUUUAAUCUUCAACGAGGAAUGCCUAGUAGGCGCAAGUCAUCAGCUUGCGUCGAUUACGUCCCUGCCCUUUGUACACACCGCCCGUCGCUCCUACCGAUUGGGUGUGCUGGUGAAAUGUUCGGAUCGGCCGUUUGUCGCGGUUUCCGCGGCUCGUGGCUGAGAAGUUCAUUAAACCCUCCCACCUAGAGGAAGGAGAAGUCGUAACA